AGUGAACGCUGGCGGUAGGCCUAACACAUGCAAGUCGAACGGCAGCACAGUAAGAGCUUGCUCUUACGGGUGGCGAGUGGCGGACGGGUGAGGAAUACAUCGGAAUCUACUUUUUCGUGGGGGAUAACGUAGGGAAACUUACGCUAAUACCGCAUACGACCUACGGGUGAAAGCAGGGGAUCUUCGGACCUUGCGCGAUUGAAUGAGCCGAUGUCGGAUUAGCUAGUUGGCGGGGUAAAGGCCCACCAAGGCGACGAUCCGUAGCUGGUCUGAGAGGAUGAUCCGCCACACUGGAACUGAGACACGGUCCAGACUCCUACGGGAGGCAGCAGUGGGGAAUAUUGGACAAUGGGCGCAAGCCUGAUCCAGCCAUACCGCGUGGGUGCAGAAGGCCUUCGGGUUGUAAAGCCCUUUUGUUGGGAAAGGAAAGCAGCAGGUUAAUACCCCGCUGUUCUGACGGUACCCAAAGAAUAAGCACCGGCUAACUUCGUG
This 492-nucleotide ribosomal RNA is filed under the name uncultured bacterium. RNAcentral's name for it is "partial 16S ribosomal RNA". It matches the Rfam family "Bacterial small subunit ribosomal RNA", at positions 29 to 507 of the family's 1533-position model. The record is from RNAcentral.